AUAGCUCAGUGGUAGAGUGUGUGCCUAGCAUGCAUGAGGUCCUGGGUUCAAUCCCCUAU
RNAcentral lists this transfer RNA (59 nucleotides) under Camelus dromedarius (Arabian camel). It matches the Rfam family "tRNA", at positions 7 to 64 of the family's 71-position model. From Rfam's summary of the family: Transfer RNA (tRNA) molecules are approximately 80 nucleotides in length. The record is from Rfam by way of RNAcentral. RNAcentral also lists the same sequence under 1 other name. Lineage: Eukaryota; Metazoa; Chordata; Mammalia; Artiodactyla; Camelidae.